This 27-nucleotide non-coding RNA is filed under the name Homo sapiens (human). Lineage: Eukaryota; Metazoa; Chordata; Mammalia; Primates; Hominidae. The record is from RNAcentral.
UGGGCUUGAUCAUCGCCUACCACACAC